RNAcentral lists this unclassified non-coding RNA (549 nucleotides) under Hevea brasiliensis (rubber tree). Lineage: Eukaryota; Viridiplantae; Streptophyta; Magnoliopsida; Malpighiales; Euphorbiaceae. The record is from RNAcentral.
GUUAGCAGAUGAAGCUACGGGUUUGUGAGCUCAGAUGCAGUGAGCAGAGUCUGUCGGAUAGGGUUGAUGAGAUUAAAGGUUUUGUAAUGAUGGGUCAAGAUUUGUGUGGUGGAUAAAAAAGUUGUGUUGAUCAGGUCGAUUACCGGGUGUUUUGUACAACAGGCCAUAUUGAACCAGAGGGUUCUAUCAAUCUUGAAGCUGUGUUUUACUUGAGUUAACUGGUGUGUUUUUCUCAAGUUCAGUGUUAAAACUACGGAGUCCAUCAGAGUUUUUCUCAAGUUCAGUGAUAAAUCUAUGGAGUCUAUCAGAGAUUAUCAAGCAUCAUGUGAUUAUUGAAGGUCAGGUUUUUUUAGUGGUAAUCGGAGAUUUAAAAGUUCUUUUCUUUGUCUCUAACUACGUGUCAGAGAUUUCUAUGUGUAUUAGGAAAGAGAAUUUGGAAUUUUAUUCUGUAACCAUCUUUGUGGGACUAUCACUAUAAAUAAUGGGGAUGGAGUUUAUAUGUGUUCUUCAUCGUUCGGAUACUAGUCAAGUUUGAGGUCAGUUUCAUAA